This is a long non-coding RNA of Priapulus caudatus, 1971 nucleotides long. RefSeq lists it as uncharacterized. The record is from RefSeq and is a predicted model, not a curated record. NCBI's taxonomy places the organism in Eukaryota, Metazoa, Priapulida, Priapulimorpha, Priapulimorphida, Priapulidae. The transcript is spliced from 2 exons.
CCAGAUUCAAAUGUUGCUGGCAUUGUUGGCGUAGGUAAUGAACCAGAUGCGAAUGUUGCUGCUGAGUUUGACGUAUUUUGUGAACCAGAUGCGAAUGUUGCUGGCAUCGUUGGUGUAGAUUCUGAACCAGAUUCAAAUGUUGCUGGCAUUGUUGGUGUAGUUAAUGAACCAGAUGCGAAUGUUGCUGCUGAGUUUGACGUAUUUUGUGAACCAGAUGCGGAUGUUGCUGGCAUUGUUGGUGUAGAUUCUGAACCAGAUUCAAAUGUUGCUGGCAUAGUUAAUGAACCAGAUGCGAAUGUUGCUGCUGAGUUUGACGUAGUUUGUGAACCAGAGGCGGAUGUUGCUGGUAAUGUUCAAAACUGAAUCGCCUGUAUUUCUUCGUAAGUCGGAAACAAGAAUUCGACUGUUAUUAACUUGUAUAGGCUCUAUGUAUUGAGCCCGCUAACCGCAAUCAGUCUCGAUCAAAUCCGCGAAAAAGGGUUUUCCAUCCUUUUAUCUAUAUACAAUACAGUAAUUCUAUGUACCGACGUAGUACCCUAACGUGUUACCUGUUCAGUGGAAGGAUUUAGAAGCAACUGUGGCUUGAGGAUGGUUAUGGGUAUCGGGCUCCUAUCCGUUUAUAUAUUUUUUAUUAAAUACUGCGACUCUACAAAGUUUCAUGAUCAUGUAAGUAAUGUACGCUUUUGUGCGUAUGUUCGUCGAAGCAGUACUUGCGCAUGAGCAUACGCCCAAGCACGCGCUGCUUGUCUUUCAACGUGUACCGUAGUGCACAUAUUCUAUCUGGAGUGAAUAAAAACAUAUUUGUUUUUACUCACUCCUGACUUUGUAAUACAAGCAAAUUUGAAGAACCUCAUUUGCUAUGAUUAUGGGUAUUAAUGUUAUAUUAAAAAUUUUGUUUUAUCGAUUAUUAUUCAUAGUUUAUGAUGAAUUAUAUAUAUAUUGUAUGGAUUAAUUUCCGACUUAAAUAACUAACUUUUUAUUUAAAUGGCAAUCUUGCUAUAAUUUGUUGAAUGAAACAAGAUGUUUAGGCCUACUAUUACUACGUAUUUGAGGACAUAUGAUGUUAUAGAGGCUAUAUGAUUAUAUUAUUAUAUUAUUAUAUUAUGAUUAUAUAGGCUUAUAUGAUGUAGGCUUAUGAUGUCGUAGGCUCAUGAUGCCGUAGGCCGUUAUGAUGAUGUAGGCUCAUGAUAUAGGCUUAUAUGAUUAUAUUAUUAGAGGCUAUAGAUGUAUAUGAUGUUGAUGAUGAGAUAUAACAUCUGAAUUGAACACUGAUGCAGUCAAUUAUUGUGGUUUAUGAUGAUCGCGAGCUACUAAGUCCAAAACGUGUUCUAAACUUAGAGUUCGUGCGAUGUUUUUGCAUAUCGUGAUUAUCUAUACCAGACAUUGGCACGCGCGCGCGCACACGUACCAAGAUUGAACACAGCUCGUUCGUACGUGCGUGGGUGUGCGGAUGUCUAUGUGUAUGUGAAUACAUGUCGAUUUUAAUACGUUCAGAAUAGAUUUUAGCGGCGUAUAUGGUUAAAUUACUCACACUAUGUUGGGGUUCAUAAGGUCAUGAAACGGUGCGAGUAUGUAAAUGAUUUUCUUAACCUAAUCAUUUGUCUUACUUGGCUAGUUCGUUCGCAUGCCUUCAAACGGUAAUAAGAGCAAUGUGUUUCAUUAUUACAGAGAAGCCAUGUGAUGUGCGUAGACACGGUGUCAACGUCGUGGCGAGUGCCGUCUUCAUGUGCAGAUUUAUUUUGAGUUCGUGAAGUUCCUCUCAUGGCUUCUAUAAUUUGAUACUAACGCAGAAAGUACUAGUACAGCCGUGCUGAUAUUAUCUUUCGUUGAUGGCGUAAUAAUCUUGAAAGUAUUAUUUUUAACCAUCAUAUAUAUUUGUUCAAUUUUUUAUACAAAGUUAAUGCAACUGUAUUCGGUGAAUGUGUACUUACACUAAUAAAAUUCAAGGCAAGCAGUGUGUCUAGCCAUACA